RNAcentral lists this ribosomal RNA (497 nucleotides) under uncultured bacterium. RNAcentral's name for it is "partial 16S ribosomal RNA". It matches the Rfam family "Bacterial small subunit ribosomal RNA", at positions 28 to 507 of the family's 1533-position model. The record is from RNAcentral.
GAUGAACGCUGGCGGCGUGCCUAAUACAUGCAAGUCGAGCGAACAGACGAGGAGCUUGCUCCUCUGAUGUUAGCGGCGGACGGGUGAGUAACACGUGGAUAACCUACCUAUAAGACUGGGAUAACUUCGGGAAACCGGAGCUAAUACCGGAUAACAUGUUGAACCGCAUGGUUCAACAGUGAAAGACGGUCUUGCUGUCACUUAUAGAUGGAUCCGCGCCGCAUUAGCUAGUUGGUAAGGUAACGGCUUACCAAGGCAACGAUGCGUAGCCGACCUGAAGGGGUGAACCGACACACUGGAACUGAGACACGGCCCAGACUCCUACGGGAGGCAGCAGUAGGGAAUCUUCCGCAAUGGGCGAAAGCCUGACGGAGGAACGCCGCGGGAGUGAAGAAGGUUCUCGGAUCGGAAAACUCUGUUAUUAGGGAAGAACAAAUGUGUAAGUAACUAUGCACGUCUUGACGGUACCUAAUCAGAAAGCCACGGCUAACUACGUG